This 163-nucleotide ribosomal RNA is filed under the name Hesperolinon micranthum. Its description in RNAcentral is "5.8S ribosomal RNA". It matches the Rfam family "5.8S ribosomal RNA". From Rfam's summary of the family: 5.8S ribosomal RNA (5.8S rRNA) is a component of the large subunit of the eukaryotic ribosome. It is transcribed by RNA polymerase I as part of the 45S precursor that also contains 18S and 28S rRNA. The record is from RNAcentral. Lineage: Eukaryota; Viridiplantae; Streptophyta; Magnoliopsida; Malpighiales; Linaceae.
AACGACUCUCGGCAACGGAUAUCUCGGCUCUCGCAUCGAUGAAGAACGUAGCGAAAUGCGAUACUUGGUGUGAAUUGCAGAAUCCCGUGAACCAUCGAGUUUUUGAACGCAAGUUGCGCCCGAAGCCAUCCGGCUGAGGGCACGUCUGCCUGGGUGUCACGCA